Molecule: long non-coding RNA, 1693 nt
Organism: Colossoma macropomum (tambaqui)
Lineage: Eukaryota; Metazoa; Chordata; Actinopteri; Characiformes; Serrasalmidae
Exons: 2
Source: RefSeq, a predicted model, not a curated record
GUUUCAUGCAGCAGGCUCAUUUUGAUUGACAGUGCGAGGGAAAAAAAAACAAAAACAGCUCUGUAUUGAAAAUGAAGAAUAAUGAUUUUUUCCUCUCCAAUUGUCAAAACAGAUAUGAAAUGGCUCUUCACAUGUUCUGUCAGUCCACGCAAAUAUCAUCCAGUUACCCCGGCAAAUGUGCAGUCAGCCAGCGCAUCAUCGCUCAGGCACACUACAGCCUCAUAAAGAAAAUUGACAAACACCCAAAAUGCCAGCAUAGACUUCCUCCCUCAGGCCAUGAGUAUGUCACAAUUCUCUGACAGCUCUGGAGCCAGACUUCCUGUUUACGUGAAUGAGUGACAUGAGGAAUUAUCUGGCACAUCCCUGCAGGACGCACUGUAUGUGUUUGUAUGUGAGUAAGUGAGCUUUGUCCACUGCUAGUUUCUGUCUCAGAUGCUCUGCCCACAGUUACACCCGCCUCAUGGUAUUUACUGUGUGUUAAAAUGGACAUAAUUAGCAGAAUUUUGACAGCCAGUCGGAUAGUUACACUCUGAUUGUCUGCGCUGUCACGUGUACAAGCUUUCGCUGUCUGAAUCUAGUCCUGCAACAGCGAAAAUGCACCAAAUUCUACAUGUGGGUGUUCAUUGGUCAGUGCUAUUUAGAACCAUAUACAAUGCAUUCUCCAUUCAUCCGAAGAACCAUUUCACCAUGUAAAGAAUCAUUUUAGCAUGAAAUGGUUCUGUAUACAACUCUGGUUCUAAAUAGAACCAUUCUCUUUACUAAAAGAACUUUACUUAAAGAACCAUCUUGGUGCACAAAUAGAACUUUCACUAGCCUAUCUGUCCUUCACAUCUAUUCUUGAUAUUAAUGAAUUUUCCUGCUCAUUAUGUUACAUGAAAACAGAGACACUAGGGCCCAAUCCCAUUUUUUAUUUUACUCCUACACCUUGUUUUCAAGUCUCACUGUGUCCUUUGGAAUGGAGUUACUGAGUUAAAUUUAGGGCAUCAUAUGCUUUUAAACUAUUCACCAGCUUCUUGUUUGAAUUUUUCCAUUUCACCUUAAAUAGGGCAGCUGUUACAUUCUGGGAUUUCAGGUGUCAGUACCGCUGGACUAUUUAAGGUGGAACAAGAAAUUUAGCUAGCUAGCUACCAAGACAUUAGCAUACUAUUAGUGAUUUUUUAUGCUUGUUAUGAAGUAAAGGACUAUAAUACACUGCACUGACAUUAAACUAAGAUAAUACAGUGGUUAUCAUUAUUUUCUAACAUAAAAAAUACUCUGAAAAACCUCUGUUUGGAGGGCCAUGUAGCACUGACACUUCGCCCUACCCCUCUAUCUCAACAAAAAUCAGGAUAUCCUACUCCUAGGAGUGAACGCACAAAACAGAGGGCUAAGGACUAAGUGGUAGGGGCGAGGGGGAAAAUUGGGCCUUUGUCAGUUUACAAGUACCCAAAAGACUGAUGCUGGACCAGAAAUAUGUUCUGCAAUUCAUGUUCCAAAGACAAAUACAUUGCUCUUUUUUCAUUGCUUGUCUGCUAUUAUUAGCAGUAGCUUGGGCUGCAGGUAUGAAAUACGCAUCUGUAAGAGGUCCAACAAUAAAACAGGCAGAUUAUCCAGACAGUGUGGCACUGAUGAGCUGCUAGAAGAGAAGUAAAGCAUACCCUUGUUUGGUGUGGACCACUGAAUAAGAGCUUUCAAGUUUUUUGUCAUUUGCACA